RNAcentral lists this ribosomal RNA (1394 nucleotides) under uncultured Staphylococcus sp. RNAcentral describes it as "bacterial SSU rRNA". It matches the Rfam family "Bacterial small subunit ribosomal RNA", at positions 119 to 1497 of the family's 1533-position model. The record is from RNAcentral. Lineage: Bacteria; Bacillati; Bacillota; Bacilli; Caryophanales; Staphylococcaceae.
GGGUAACCUACCUAUAAGACUGGGAUAACUUCGGGAAACCGGAGCUAAUACCGGAUAACAUUUGGAACCGCAUGGUUCUAAAGUGAAAGAUGGUUUUGCUAUCACUUAUAGAUGGACCCGCGCCGUAUUAGCUAGUUGGUAAGGUAACGGCUUACCAAGGCGACGAUACGUAGCCGACCUGAGAGGGUGAUCGGCCACACUGGAACUGAGACACGGUCCAGACUCCUACGGGAGGCAGCAGUAGGGAAUCUUCCGCAAUGGGCGAAAGCCUGACGGAGCAACGCCGCGUGAGUGAUGAAGGGUUUCGGCUCGUAAAACUCUGUUAUUAGGGAAGAACAAACGUGUAAGUAACUGUGCACGUCUUGACGGUACCUAAUCAGAAAGCCACGGCUAACUACGUGCCAGCAGCCGCGGUAAUACGUAGGUGGCAAGCGUUAUCCGGAAUUAUUGGGCGUAAAGCGCGCGUAGGCGGUUUCUUAAGUCUGAUGUGAAAGCCCACGGCUCAACCGUGGAGGGUCAUUGGAAACUGGGAAACUUGAGUGCAGAAGAGGAAAGUGGAAUUCCAUGUGUAGCGGUGAAAUGCGCAGAGAUAUGGAGGAACACCAGUGGCGAAGGCGACUUUCUGGUCUGUAACUGACGCUGAUGUGCGAAAGCGUGGGGAUCAAACAGGAUUAGAUACCCUGGUAGUCCACGCCGUAAACGAUGAGUGCUAAGUGUUAGGGGGUUUCCGCCCCUUAGUGCUGCAGCUAACGCAUUAAGCACUCCGCCUGGGGAGUACGACCGCAAGGUUGAAACUCAAAGGAAUUGACGGGGACCCGCACAAGCGGUGGAGCAUGUGGUUUAAUUCGAAGCAACGCGAAGAACCUUACCAAAUCUUGACAUCCUUUGAAAACUCUAGAGAUAGAGCCUUCCCCUUCGGGGGACAAAGUGACAGGUGGUGCAUGGUUGUCGUCAGCUCGUGUCGUGAGAUGUUGGGUUAAGUCCCGCAACGAGCGCAACCCUUAAGCUUAGUUGCCAUCAUUAAGUUGGGCACUCUAGGUUGACUGCCGGUGACAAACCGGAGGAAGGUGGGGAUGACGUCAAAUCAUCAUGCCCCUUAUGAUUUGGGCUACACACGUGCUACAAUGGACAAUACAAAGGGCAGCUAAACCGCGAGGUCAUGCAAAUCCCAUAAAGUUGUUCUCAGUUCGGAUUGUAGUCUGCAACUCGACUACAUGAAGCUGGAAUCGCUAGUAAUCGUAGAUCAGCAUGCUACGGUGAAUACGUUCCCGGGUCUUGUACACACCGCCCGUCACACCACGAGAGUUUGUAACACCCGAAGCCGGUGGAGUAACCAUUUAUGGAGCUAGCCGUCGAAGGUGGGACAAAUGAUUGGGGUGAAGUCGUAACAAGGU